UUUUUUUAAAAAGACUUGGAUGAAGCAUCCAAUAUACUUGGCAUCUAUAAAGAUAGAUGUAAGUGGAUGCUAGGCUUGUUUUAGUCUAGGUAUAUAGAUUUUAUGUUGAAGAGAUUCAACAUGAAUGGGUUUACUUACCCAUAUAUUCAAUGUACCAAGCCUGAUAUGGUUUAUGCCUUGUACAUAAUCCUUGAUUUCAGGC
This 202-nucleotide long non-coding RNA is filed under the name Elaeis guineensis (African oil palm). Its description in RNAcentral is "long non-coding RNA (EGUI_LNC039369)". Lineage: Eukaryota; Viridiplantae; Streptophyta; Magnoliopsida; Arecales; Arecaceae. The record is from RNAcentral.